UGUUGUGUGACGGGUAACUUUGCAUCGCUGGCAGUGCAAGCAAUGCCUCGACCAAUCUCUGCAGUCACGACG
This is a non-coding RNA of Bombyx mori (domestic silkworm), 72 nucleotides long. Lineage: Eukaryota; Metazoa; Arthropoda; Insecta; Lepidoptera; Bombycidae. The record is from RefSeq and is marked provisional.